This 465-nucleotide ribosomal RNA is filed under the name uncultured bacterium. RNAcentral's name for it is "partial 16S ribosomal RNA". It matches the Rfam family "Bacterial small subunit ribosomal RNA", at positions 28 to 507 of the family's 1533-position model. The record is from RNAcentral.
GAUGAACGCUGGCGGCGUGCUUAACACAUGCAAGUCGAACGGAAAGGCUCCUGCUUUCAGGGGUACUCGAGUGGCGAACGGGUGAGUAACACGUGGGUGAUCUGCCCUGCACUUCGGGAUAAGCCUGGGAAGCUGGGGCUAAUACCGGAUAGGACCAUCUUUUGCAUGCCAUUGUGGAAAGUUUUUCGGUGUGGGAUGAGCUCGCGGCCUAUCAGCUUGUUGGUGGGGUAGUGGCCUACCAAGGCGUCGACGGGUAGCCGGCCUGAGAGGGUGUACGGCCACAUUGGGACUGAGAUACGGCCCAGACUCCUACGGGAGGCAGCAGUGGGGAAUAUUGCACAAUGGGCGCAAGCCUGAUGCAGCGACGCCGCGUGGGGGAUGACGGCCUUCGGGUUGUAAACUCCUUUCGCUAGGGACGAAGCGCAAGUGACGGUAACUGGAGAAGAAGCACUGGCUAACUACGUG